This is a non-coding RNA of Rattus norvegicus (Norway rat), 15997 nucleotides long. The record is from RefSeq and is a predicted model, not a curated record. NCBI's taxonomy places the organism in Eukaryota, Metazoa, Chordata, Mammalia, Rodentia, Muridae.
CCGCUACGUGGAUAAGUAGAAUUUUCACAUGGAUUCUGCUUAACUAAGUCAAGAAUGUAGAAUCCACAAAGGACAAUGUCAAAUAGACUCCCUCCUUUUCUUAUUAACAUAUUGAAGUUGAGGUUUCCCUGGACCUCAAGCCAUUCCUCUCCCUGUCCUUCUUCUUGUAUCUUAUUAUUCCAGAAGAAUGAAUAAUUGUAGAACAACCGCAAACCUCAAGUCUGGCCACGGGAACACAGUAAGGUAGAUAAUGCAGAACUGAUAUCAAAUUGGACUAGAGAAUCGAAUUCUAUAGUCCGUGUUGUCCUUUGCUUGACUGAUCCCUGAUAAUUUUGGGAUAAAUUAAGGAUUUGGGAGUUUAUCAUUUCAAGUAGGUACACAAUAUUUACACUCUUAUACUCAUUCAAUAGCUAGGCCACAUUUGUUGCCAAAAUCAUUCCAGAAAAUGGAAUUGGAAAAAAAAAGUUUUGAGUACACAGUCAGCAAUAUUUAUAAAGUCCCAUAUCGAGGAAUGUACAAUACGAAAGUGAAAUAAAAUAUACAUUCAAAACUUGAGAUACAGUCAAGGUUUUCUUUCCUUAAUUUGAAUGAUUGCUUAUACAGCAUGUGAAUCUGAACUCAGACCCAUGGUAAACCUUCUGACUGAGCUUCAUUAGUGCCAAGAAUACAAGUUUGCACCAUCUUUGUAAAUAUUUGGACACUUUGCUCAAUGCUUAGCACAUUUUGGAAAAUCCCCUGGUGUUAAGAAAGAAAGUAUUAGAUAUGAAAAUCUGUGAGAAUAAAUCAUUUCUAAGUUUGAUUUUUGUGGCUACAGAGAAAGACUUUUACUCCGAUGUAAGUGAGUGUCUAAAACUGUUAAAAAAAACCAUUAUCUCUCAUCUGCAAGAAUCCUUCUAAUGGCUUACUGCUCUGUCUUCCAGGAGAUGAGUGUCAAUUGUGUCAGUUGCUCCUUGUGGCAGGAAAAGGGCUUGUUUUAAAAAUGCUUUGCAAUUACCAAGAACUUUGAGGUUUCUGGAGAAUGCUUCCUCCUGUUAACCUUCAUUCUGCUCUCAUAGCAUUUGCUAUCUACACAAAUCCAUCUGUACACACCCCCAUCCACUUCUUUCUGGCGAACUUAUGUAUCCUGGAAGUUGGUUACACUGGUUCUGUCAUACCGAAAAUAUGGAGAGCCUUGUAAGUGAGAUCUGAGGAGUCACUCAGGAGGGAUGUGCCACACUUUUUCUUCACACUUUCAGGUAUAACUGAGUGCUGCCUUGGCAGCCAUGGCCUUUGACCACUGUAUGGCCCUAAUUAACUAUUCAACACAAAUGAGUCGAGAGGUAUAUGCCCAUUUGGCAUUUUUUCAUCGGGAAUAGGUUGCCUUGUAGGGUUGGGACAAAACUACUUGAGACCCACAUGUAACCACCUACAAGUAGGUGAUAAAUUCUUGGUCAUCUUCCAUACCACAGUGAUAUCCAUGCUGAACCCCAUUGUCUAUAGGUAAUGAACCAAGAAGUCAAGGCAGAACUGAGAAGAACUCUGGGUUGGAAGGAAGAUCUGAUAAUAAAUAGGUAAUUAAGGAUCCCAAAGUGCUCUUUCAAAAAGGUGAAAAGUCUGUGAAAGAAAGAAAACAAAACCACUAUGCUCUUUCUUGCUGUCUUCAAACAAAGUUUAAGAAACGUAACUUUGUUUUACAGUGUUCUCUUUAUUCACCACCAUGCUUAAUUGCAAACAAUUGUAAAGCAUGCUUGCUACUAAAUUACUUUAGUAGAUUAGUCCAGUAUUUAAACAUUAUCAUCUGGGCAGAGUUUAAACCACAAACUAAUAUCUCAUGGGCCUUGAAAAUUCCCUAUAUCCAUUCUUAGCUCUUUGGAAAUCUUCCAGAAAUUGUUUGUAAAUGAUCUCAGCUCAUUAUGCUACAAUUCCAUAUUCCUCAGUACAUGUAAAUUCAUUGCAUUGGACUGGAACUGCUAAGUAGUUCUCAGGAGAGUGAAUUGAUAGCCUCUGCUUUGUGUACCAUUUGGUCAGUCCAUACUUCAGUUCUGGGCACCCAGGGCCUAUGAUUUUGGAACAUGAGUAGUCUUUCCUCCCCUUUUUGAUUUCUAAUAGGGCGGUGUAAAAGAAUUUCAACCAGGUGAUUCUCAACAUCAAUAUCAUAGUUUCAGAUAAACACACACAAACACACACACACACACACAGAUGAACAAACACACACGUACAAACACACAGAUACACACACACAUAAACACACAGAUACACACACACUAACACACACAGAAACAUGCAAAAUUGCUCCUUACUUCAAGUUUACUUAAUUACUUACACACACACACAAACACACAAACACCUGCUUCUUACAUUCAAGUUUACUUAGUUACACACACACACACACACACACACACACACACACAUAUAUCUGCUUCUUACCUUCAACUAGACUUAGUUAUUUUCAUAGUUAUUUGUUUAUAUAUUCACUGUACCUACUGCACACUGCCCCCCUCAGGUUCACCUUCUCACAAUCUUUCUCCUAGCCCUUUCUCCUCUGAUCAGGAGUGGACCCCAUGAGUAUCUCCUCACCUUGGAUAUCUAGUCUCUGUUAUCACAUCCUCUGCUACAUAGGCCAGAUACAGCAGCCUAGAUGGAUAGGGGUGUGGAGGUAGAAGUCAUAUCCAGAAAGUGGCAGAGACCUGGGGUAAGAGAUGCCCAUGAAUCAAUGAGUGUUUCCUUAGCUGAGACUCACAGCCUCACUGAUAUGGACCUGAAGAAGCCAUCUCCUGUAGCCAGAGAGCAAACCAAAUGGAGUGAGAGAGACACCAACUUUUGACCCAAAAUUUAUUCUGACCACAAGAAAUGAAAGGUCCGUGCAUAGAGCAGUGAGUGUGGAAUGAUUGACCAAUGGUUAGUGCAGAUUAAGACCCACCCCAUUGAUGAGCACUGAUCCCUGACAUUAUUAAUGAAACUCUGAUAUGCUUGGAGAAAGGAAUCUUAGAUGUCUUCCCUCUGAGAGACUCCACUAAGCUGCUGACUCAGACAGAAACAGACAUCAACUAGCCAAACAAUGGGUAGAGCUUGGGACUCUGAUGGAAGAAUAGAAUGAAAAGGAUUACGGCAUCUAAGGACAUAGGCACUCCAGAGUCUUCAUGUGGGUACCGAACAACUAGAAUUGGGCUUUCCCAAAACAUGUUGACCAUAGAUGGGACAUCUGUGUCUUUAAAAUUCAUUUAUUUAAUUAUGCACUUUACAACCCAAUAUCACAGAUGUGCAUUCUGAUUUUUUUAAAGCAGGUAUGAAAUUUUUAUACAGAUGUCUAGAUUUCUGUUGUUUUAAAGAUUCUUAUAAGGGUACUUUUAAAGAUAAAUAAUACAAUUUACAAUAAUACAUUUCUCUGUAAAUUCAAAUUGCUCACUUAUGAAGUUAUGUUGGCCUUGGGAGUAAUUUGUUUUCUUUAGGUGUACUAUGUAAUAUUUCUUCUAAUACAGUAUUGGGUAUCACUUUUUUCAGCACUAAGCAAGAGAAGCACACUAGAACAUGAUCACAAUUGUGUAAUACAAUAUUCAAUAAAUUAGUCGUCUAUAGGGAAAAUACUGCCAGUUGGGAAAAAGAGAAAUCAUAGAAUAUUGAAGUGUAAGUCACACGAAUGAACCUGGGACUAAAAAUAUUAUCUAGAAGAAUAUCCUAUACUUUAUUUUCCUAAAUCAUUUCUACCCAUGCCAAGCCCCAGACUAACAUUCUCCAUUCAGAGCAUGUUACCACUAAUGAGGACAAGAGAAGUCUCAAGGCUUAGAGAGAUGGAGUACAUAAAGGUUUACCCUGUGUCACAAGAGAGUCUCCUGGAAAAGGCACUCUCAAAACUGGUAAUGUAAGGAAAGCUGUUCAGCAGGUAGGCCUUGGCAGUUCUCAGUGACAUCAUCAUUAGGCCCUCCCUGAAAAAUCUCUUGUAUCCUGGAGAGCACUAGAUCCUUCUGUAAUGUCACAAGUGUUGCUGUGACAGCAACUGCCUCUCAGAUAUUCCUUCAGUACCUCUAGGGCUUGCUAAUUGGCCUUUAAUUCAGAGUAAACAGCCAUUUGGGAGGGAGAACAAAGAGGAUGAGGAGAUCAGAGAUGGGGAGAAAGAAGCUGCCCCUCUGUAUUGGUAUAAAAAAGGAAGAAAUAUGUGGUCCAUUGCAGAGCUCAGUUAGUCAUGGGUAGGGGUUUAGUGGGUUCCCUGAAGAGACAGCCUUGAUCUGAGCCUUCCACAUAUGGGAAUCCGGAGAUGGAAGCAUCUUAGAAGCAUCUGGACUUCCCUGAUCUUAUGGUUCCUGAAAGUCACAGAGUUAUAUAUCAUUCAUUCUUUAUUCCAAAACCCAUGUGUUGGGAAGGGCACAGUUGUUUCCUGAGAGCCCAUGGCCUUUAUUCUUUUUGCCAAGAUGAAAAACAUCCUAAGGAAGAAGGGAUGGACAAGUAUUUUGUCCUUAGCUCAGAGUAAACUUCUCCAGGAUUAUUAUCCCUGUAGCGCAGUUUGUGUCUGACACUGAUAUCUGGGAGAGAGAAGUGCUUCUAGUUGAGUCUUCAUCAUCUCAGUCUUUAACUAGUAUUACUCUGACUACCAUUCCCUGACAGUGACUCUCUAGAUUUCAGAGUCAAUAGGAGUGAUUAGCUGACAGUUUCUUUUUUUCAUUUUUUGUUUACUUUUUACCAAAUAUAUUUUUUGUGAUUGUUAUUUCUAUAAUAACAUUUCGAAUAUUUUUCCUUUCUCAAUAUCCUGUACAAAAGUUCCCUAACCGGUCCACCUCCUCUUCUUCUAUAAACCCCCUUGCAUCCCUUUGACAUUCCCUUGAACAGGGUGCCAAACCAAGGGAAACCCAAGGAAUUCUUUUUCCAUUCGUGCCCAUCAAAGCCAUCCUCUGCUACAUAUCCAGUUUGAACCAUAGUUCUCUCCUCGUACAUUCUUUGAAUAUGAUUUUAGUACCAGAAAGCUCUGGUUCAUUGGAUUUGUUUUUUUUUUUUGUUUUUGUUUUUUUUUUUGUUUUGUUUUAUGGGAUUGAAUGUCCCUCCAGUACUUGUAAUCCUAUCUCAAAAUCUACCAACAAGAGACCCUUUCCAAGUUUACUGGUUUGCCAAUAGCUUUCAUUUCUGUAUUUGAUAUGCUCUAGCUGUGUCUCUCAGGAAAGAACUAUAUCCAGUUCGUGGAAUCAGGGACUUCUUAGCUUCAUCAAUCUUAUCUAGUUUUGUUGGCUGAUAUAGAUAUCUGCACCAGGAAUCUAGAGAAGACCUUUUAGUGCAGUUUGUGUGUUGUAAGAGGUUCAUCUCAAUUACAAAUUUCCAACGGCCACAUUCCCUUAGCAUGAUUUUCAUAUGAUGCUUUGAUACAGUGCUUAUUAUUUUCUAUAGUUCUUGGCAAAAGAAUAAAAAUAGAAACAGUAAUCUGUCAAUGUACAGUAAUAUAUUUGCAUGAAUCCAUCAUGUAGAAGAAUUACAGGAUAAAGAAUUGGAAAACCAGAUGUCUUUCCUUUUGUGGACCAAGAUUGAUAAACUGGACAAUAUAAAAAUCUGAGACAAGUUGUCUGAAGUUUGUUCUUUCUUUCAAUCAUGGGCUCCUAGGGAAGGAUUUCAGGUAUCAAGAGUCAGAAAUAAUUACCUUUAUUUCUGACCCAACUCACCUGCUGAAUAACUCAUUCUCAGAAAUGAAGAAACUCUGUAUCCAUCCUGCAAUAAUGUGUAUAUAUCUAUAUAUCGUUCAUAGAAUGGAUACUUUUGACUCUUAGUUUCAAAGCAAAAGUCUGGGGAGACACAGAAUUAAUUCUUUUACACAUUAAUUCUCAGGUUGAUGUUUGGUCUCAAAAGUUCAUUGCAGGAGUUGCUUUACAACAGUCAUUCUCUGAUCUGGAAGAAACACAUUUUAAAUGUUGUGAAAUCUAUUACAACAUUAUCAACUACCUUUCUCCCUUCCCAUUUUUGAACUGAAUUAUUUUCCACAAAAUGUCUGUUGUCUCAGCUGCAGUCUUUAUUCCCACAGACUAGUCUGAAUCUUGCUUUUAGCACUGCAUUUAUGAUACAUCAAUGUGAUUUCCUUUCCACAUUCACCACUAGUAGAAUUUUUCAAAUCUUCAAUUCAUCUGAUGGGUCUAAUCUACAUUGUCACCAAGGAUGACACUUGAGAGUUUAGGGAUCCUUAGGUAUAAUGUUGUAUCCACGAAUAACCUACAUGGAUUACUGGCAGAUUAGAGAAUGACCAUGUCUAUACCAUAUAUGUAUUCCUGUAGGUUUCACAAAACUUCUCUCUUUGGUUGAAUUUGAUCCAGUUCAACUAAUACAGUACAAAAGAAAGGAUAAAAGUCAUGCACAUGUCCUGGAAACAUAGCUCAUGCGUUUUGAGAAUUUGCUAAGCAAAGAACCAAAAGGGUAACCCAAUUCUAUGUGAAAAUCUCUCACCCAACUGGCUUCAGUGGGAAUUGCAUGUAUAUGGUGCAUAGCACAUAAAGCAGGCAAAACACUUGUGUAAAAAAGAAACAAUAACAGUAUCCUUUGCCUUACAUAAGCUUUGCAGUUUUAUGAGAUACCCUUUGCCAAUUCUUUAUCUUAGAGCAUAAGACAUUGUUGUUUUUUUUCAGGAAAUUUUCUCCAGUGCCCAUGUGUUUGACAUUCUUCCCACUUUCUUUUCUAUUAGUUUGAGUGCAUUUGGUUUGAUGUGGAGGUCCUUAAUCCCCUUGGACUUAAGCUUUGUAUAGGGUGAUAAGCAUGGAUUGAUCUGCACUCUUCUACAUGCAGACCUCACAUUGAACCAGCACCAUUUGAUGAAAAUGCUAUCUUCCAUUAGAUGGUUUUGGCUACUUUGUCAAAAAUCACGUGACCAUAGGUUUGUGGUUUCAUAUCUGGGUCUUCAAUUCUAUUCAACUGGUCUGUCUCUCUGUCUCUGUAACAAUACCAUGCAGUUUUAUCACUAUUGUUCUCUAAUACUACUUGAGUUCAGGGAUAGUGAUUCCCCAAGAAGUCAUUAUAUUGUUGAGGUUUUUGUUAUCUUGGGUUUUUCGUUAUUCCAGAUGAAUUUGGAAAUUGUCCUGUUAAACUCUCUGAAGAAUUGGAUUCGUGUUUUGAUGGGGAUUGCAUUGAAUCUGCAGAACGCUUUUGGUAAAAUGGCCAUUUUUACCAUAUUUAUCUUGCCAAUCCAUGAGCAUGGGAGAUCUUUCGACCUUCUGAGGUCUUCUUAAAUUUCUUUGUUCAGAGGCUUGAAGUUCUUACAGAUCUUAAACGCAAAUUUUUCUCUCCUUCUUUAAUAGGGGAACAAGAAUACCCUUGGCAAGGAAUAGGGAGGCAUAAUUUAGAACAGAGGCAGAAAUAUCACUCAUUCAGAGCCUGCCCCACAUGUCGCCCAUACAUAUACAGACACCCAAUUAGACAAGAUAGAUGAAGCAAAGAAGUGCAGGCCAACAGGAACUGGAAGUAGAUCUCUCCUGAGAGACACAGCCAGAAUACAACAAAUACAGAGGCGAAUGCCAGCAGCAAACCACUGAACUGAGAAUGGGACCCCCAUUGAAGGAAUCAGAGAAAGAACUGGAAGAGCUUGAAGGGGCUCGAGAUCCCAUAUGAACAACAAUGCCAAGCAGCCAGAGCUUCUAGGGACGAAACCACUACCCAAAGACGAUACAUUGACUGACCCUGGGCUCCAUCCUCAUAGGUAGAAAUGAAUAGGUAGUAAAAGCACCAGUGGAAGGGGAAGCCCUUGGUCCUGCCAAGACUGAACCCCCAGUGAACAUGUUUGUUGGAGUGAGGGUUUUAAUGGGGGGGUGAUGGGGAGGGAAAGCCCAUAUUGAGGGGGAGGUGAAGGUGUUAGGGUGAUGUUGGCCCAGAAAACUGGAAGGGGAAUAACAAUCGGGAAGGUAAAUAAGAAAUAUUCGUUAGUAAAGAUAAAAAAAAAAUAAAAUAAAAUAAAAAACAAAAGAAAUAAUAGCAAUAAUAAUGUUAGUGAUAAUAAAGUGACCCAAACAACUAUUCAAAAUAGGCACCAAAUAUAUUUUCAAGGAAAAACAUAAAAACUAAGUAUAAAAAAAUGUUUUUAGAAACAAGGAAUUCAUUAUCUCUCCCAAGUGGUUCCCACUGUGACUAUAUUUCAUGAAACCAGAGACAGACAGUUCUGUUUUUCCUGAUUUCUAUUAUUACUCCAUUGGUGAAGGUUUUCAUUUCCUGAGAAUCAUUAGAGAAAAACUAUUGAGUUUCUCACUAGUUUUUUCUAUACGAUCACCCCUAGAGUAUGAUAUUUUUGGAGAACCUAAAUAUUUGACUGCAAGAAUGCAUCAUGGAUAUCUUUUCCAUCAUGAAAUUGGUAUCCACUGUGGGUCAUAGUAGCUACAUCGAAAGUCCAAUCAACAUGUUUACCUCUGGCUUGUUGUGAACAAAUUAUCAAUCCCAAGGACCCUGAAUGUUUCAGUGACCUAUCUCCACAUAUGGUUUAUCAGGUUACAAGAUGGCUACACCACAAAUAAAAAAACAAGUUUCUAAAUUUCUUUUUUUUUUAUUAACUUGAGUAUUUCUUACAUACAUUUCGAGGGUUAUUCCCUUUCCCGGUUUCCGGGCAAAUAUCCCCCUCCCCCCUCCCCUUCCUUAUGGGUGUUCCCCUCGUAACCCUCCCCCCAUUGCCGCCCUCCCCCCAUAGACUAGUUCACUGGGGGUUCAGUCUUAGCAGGACCCAGGGCUUCCCCUUCCACUGGUGCUCUUUCUUAAGAGUUGAAAAACACAAUUUAUUCUGAAAAAUAUAUAUUAGCUUUUUUCAAAAAGUGCUAAAAUGAUACAAUCAUAAUAUAAAUUGCAUGAUCUUAACCGAACUGAAAAUUCACAAGAACAAAAAUUAAAAAAAAAAAAAAAGAAUGAGUGACAAAACUUCCAACCAAACCAAACAAUGCUAAUACCUGAUGAAAACAAAACUCAAACCAAAAAAAAAAAAAAAAAAACAGAGUAAUUAAGAUAAUCAGCAUUCUCUUGUUCAAGGUUUAUCACCACAGGCGUUCCCUGUGGCUGCCCUUGGAACAUAGUGGGAAGGCAGUCAGUCACCAAUUGUAAUAGAGUUUUAAAGAUGAAUCUAGCUAUGCCUCUUUGGGGCCUUUACAGGUCAAGGACUUCCAAGGCUAAUAUGAGACAUGUACAGAAUUUGGUUUCUAGGUUUUGAAUUUCUCUUGACUGAUUUCCAAUAAUAAACUUGAAAAUCCCUCAGAACAAGAAUGAACUAACCCUCUGAGACAACUCCUGAAUGCCCAGCCAUUUUUGAUGUGCUUCAACACUUCUUUGAAACCCUCUCAUGUUCAUGUUCAGUGUGAAGGGAAUUCCAAUGUCUGAAUGGAAACUCACUUCCCCUUCCUACCUGGGUUACAACAUUUAUUCAGCUCAAAUAUUUUCACUCCCAAGGAGAUCAAGAUUUUAAAAAUUCAUCCUCUCAAAGUGUACCACUAAAUUAAUAGCAUGAAUUUUCUACCAUUCAAAGUCUUCCUAAUGCAUAUUUCCUGAACCCUUAGCUUUAUGUAUUUUAGUAACCAGUUCUGCAUCAGGAAGUCCUUAUUUAGAUACAAUGUUUCUCCUUGGCUUUUAACCAGCUGCUCAGUCUUAGGUACUGGAUUUACCUAAGCACAAGUUUCUCCCUUUUGAAUUCAGCUGUUGCCAGUACUGUUCCUUAGGUUUUUCAAAUUGAAGAAUUGUCAAAAUUCUUACUGUCCCUACAGAGUUAUGACUAGUAAUGACCUGGUUCAAUCCUACAAUCCUGAGAACUGAGCAUCUCAAGUUCCAUAAAAUCCAAAUGGUGUCUCUAGAUAUCUCUGAAAUGUUGUUUUCAUAGUGGGAUUCAGUUGUUACUGUUUUCAAAUCAUUCCUCUUAAACUUUAAAAUGUAAGCAUUGCUCAUGUACAGAAUUCUUUCUCAAGAAAGGAGGAGGAUUUCUGAAUUCUUUCAUUGACAUUGGGUUGACUUACUUGUGGAUGUACACCUCAUUCCUUGGAUCAAUCCAGCAUGCCCCAACAGCACAGAGCAAGUCACUUAUUUGUAGGGUGUGUGUGUGUGUGUGUGUGUGUGUGUGUGUGUGUGUGUGUGUCUAGGUCAGUCCACGAGAACUCCUUCUACAUGUUGGAGAAACACACUUUUUCAAAGAUACCAUGGCCUCCUUUGUUUUCCAUGCCUCUUUAACAUAUCUAAUCACUUCAAAAUGCACCAUUUACUUAUACCUCUCGGUCACAGAUUAAACUCAUAAUAUCCUCCAAUCUCCACAGGGAAUCAGAGCUCAAUAAUAAAUAAUUUUUCGAGACUUUAGAUUCAAAAUUUGUCCUAAAACUCAUUAAGUAUUUAUUGUUCUGUAAAUGAAAAUCCAGCUGGUAUUUUGGACAUUUGAGUUUCAUGGCCAGAAAUCAUCAGCUAAACGCAUUCCCUCCAUUCUUGGCAAGUUCAUGCUAUGCUUCCCGAAUGUCAUGUUUGCUGUGACUACCUAGUUAUACAGUCUUAUGAUAUGCAAGUGAGUUCUAAUAUAGUAUUCUUAAUACUUAGUGGUUCUGAUCAGAAUCUGCAAAGUGGGGAAUCAAUCUCUUUGUGCUAAACAUAGGUUGCAAACUGCCUCUGGAUAUAUUUUGGAUAGCAUAUUGUAUAAAUGCAUGUGCUUUUUAGGUGGUUUAUCAUUAUCUAUUAACAGUCUACAUACCAUAGUAUCAGAUUAUUUUAAAUUUCUAUGUAAAGUGAUUUCUUGUCCCUCCUGGCUUAGAAUUGUGUGGGGAUACUUAGAUCAAUCUGUGUAGCCCUACGCAAUUCUUCUUGAUAUACUUUCAUCUAUGGAUGGUGUAAUAUCUACAACCUUUGAUAUACUGCCUUUGAUACACCUUCCUUCACCUGUGUAAAUGAAAAUAUUUUCAUCUCUGGAUGGUGUAAUAUCUACAAACUUUGACAUACGGACUUUUAUGCACCUUCCUUCACCUGUGUGAAAGAAAAAUAUUUACAGCAGACUGAUCCUGUAAUGUUUUGGAUACUACAUGAUUCCCUUAGCUAAAAUAUGACUAUGCAUUCUUAUUCAGGCUCAAACAGAUUCAUGGGGAGACGCCAUUGACUAGAAAUGUCUACUACUACUCAGAUGUCCUCUAUGAAUACAGUCAGAAGAACAGUUACUUCAGUUCAGCUCACUGAUGGUGGAAGGUUGGGAUGACGACUUCCCAGCAGACCCUGAAGAGAAACACAAGGGAACAUGCAUAGUAAUGGCCCAGUCACAGGAGAGAAAAUGCUGAGUCCCUAAUGAACCAUGAUGAAAUGGGAAAUCUACAGAUACUUGGAAGCACUGAAAGAUGAGGAAAGCUCUCUUCAAGCUGGACUUAUUAGCUAUUUUCUUUCUCGCAACCGUGAUCCCUAAACAUGUGUCUCACUGCCUUCUGCAGUCGCCCUGGCCCUUAACAACAAAAUCUGGUCAAGACAUGAAUAAAUGGAAGAUAUUUUCAGUUCGUAUCUGAUGGGAUGCAUGUAAGUCCUGGAGUCCAUAGUGUUAAGGACCACCAAGCCUUAAUCAUGUAUGUUCAAGACAAAGAGUAAGAGACCUUGAUGCAUGUGAGCGGAGUAGCCCUUGUCAUAAAUUCCUAUGGCAUGUCCAGGAAUCCUGUGAAGAUAAAAUUCAAUACUCUACCCUGAGAGUCAAAGCUUUUAUCGCUGUGCCUCUUCUUGGCAUUCUUCCUCAUUCAGAAUGAAACUAAGGAAUGCAUAGUAGACAAGAUGCAUGCUUGACAAUUCCUGACUCUCUGCCAAUAAAUUUAUCAGAUAUUCCUGAAACUGGGUCUCUUCUUUAGGGAUCCAGAGCCUUCAGGUCAUAAGUCCUACUCCUAGAAGGCCUGAGCCAAGACUACCUCCUCUAGGAAGUUCCUCAGAACCAGCCCACUGCUCUCACUCGCCUUUUUGCACAAGAUAAUUUAUGUUUUCACUUCUUUAACAAGAAAGUAUCUUAAUUUCUUCCUCCUCUCUCUUUUGUCUCUCCAUGCUCUCUGUUUUCUCUGUAAAUAGCUUGAUCAUCCUGAAAAACAUUUGAGUAGGUAAACAAAUAUGUAUUAACUAAUUGCCACGAGGGCAGUUUCUGUUUCCAUAACACUAGUGACAUCACAGAGAAUACAAUGGAAAUUCCAGCAUACAUUAGAGUAUCUGGAAGAUAGUCCAGUUCAACAGCACAUAACUUCCCUUUAACAAGAUCUUCUCCAAAUAAACAAACCAAGUUGCCCUUUCAAGGAUCUUUGCCUGAGACACAAAGGAAGACUUUCUAUCAAUAUCCCUUCUAACCCAGAUAUAUCACUGAUCUAUUGAAUUUUUUACCACCUUCAUGCAUGAAUAGUGAAGACUCAGUUCUCAACCACAGCCCACAAAUGGUCCCCCACUCCUUUGGUAGCACACUCAAAAUGACAAAGAAGAAAAUAAACUGAGAACAUAGUUCAGAAUUCUUGUCAGUGAUGUGUUGAUUUGACACAGUUAAUCCAUCUCUGGGGACAUCUUCUGUAGCUAAAUGACCAAUUUUUCCAAAUUCUUCAUCUAUUCCCCCUGCUAAGUAAUAUUGGAGGGUUGGGAUGAUGUCUUCCCAGUAGGCCAGGUACAUAGAUAAGUACUAGUGAGCAAAGACUUGGGGAAUAUCCACAGACUACAACAGUAUGGAUAGGGGAGUAAAAAAUACAGAAAACAUUUAAAUUCUGAUAAAAAAUUCCCUCAGAGCCUCAAAAAUUAUUUAUUUUAGCCAUGAGACUGAUUGUGAUGUGAUCAGUGGCACACAGUUCUGGAUACAGGUGCAUUGAUUAACGCAGGUGUAAUUUGAGUCAUCAAUAGCAAACACUCAGGGAAAGCAUGAUGGGUCAAUCUUGGAAUGAGCAAUGAGAAGUCAAACUGAAGUAUAUAUAGGUAUCAUGUGGAAGAAACAGAUGGACAGAGACAAAGACAGAAAGACAGACAGACAGAGAGACAGAUACACACACACACAAACACAACUCACUCACACACACAGAAAUCAAAGGAGCAGUCAUAGGAAAACGAUGUAGUAGAUCAUUGGUAAGGAGCGCCAGCCAGGGAGGAAAAGUCAAAUUCUUCAUUUGGGUGCCACAUAUGACAACUUCUAUACUCCUGAAAGGCAGUCACUACUACAUUUAUGUACAACAUCCAUUAGGAAAAUACAGACAGGGAAGGUAAAGUAAGGGAAGAGACUAGGUAUUACUACACGAUGCAUGUUUAUUAAAGUCCCAUGUUAUCUUUCUCCUGAGGCUGUAAGUCCCUGUAAAGAGAAGACAGUCUAUGGUCAGCCUGGCAUGCAUUUCUUGGAUUUCUGAAAAUUUUCCUUCCAUACAUGAUCCUUGGCCCCUAGGCUUGUUGGGAGUUGUUGAAUAUUCUACAUCUUCUCAGUUGUUAAAUUCUUAUCUAGUAGAUUUGGACAUCAAUUCUAUUUUUAAUUGUUGUUCUCCAGUAGACAGCAAGUUCAGAUCACACUGGUUUUUAUGAGAUAAUCGAGUGCAUAAACUGCCAUGAAAUAUGUUAUCAUUAGUAAAGACCUUUGUAGGAAAGCUGAAAAAUAGGACAGAGAGGCAGAAAGACAAAGAGAGAUGAGACAGGGAGACGGAGAAAGACACAUACACAGAGAGAGAGAGAGUGAAAGAAUACUAUGCCUUGUGUAUAUGAAGCCAGAAAAUAAUUUGUGAAUCUAGAAGAAAGGUAUAAAUGACUGCCUGUAAAUCCCAUUGACUAAGAAAGAAGCCUGGAGCCAGUUGUGCUAUUGAGACUUCACACAGAUUGGCCUAUACCAAUGUGAAACACUAGACUUCCAUGAGCAAAUCCUUAGCCUGGAUAAUGCAGUUAUGUUGGUCUAGAAAAACAAACACUGAUUUGGCCCCUCUGUCUCUCAGUACUCUGAUCUGCCAUGUCACAAGAGGCUGAAUGGUCAUCCACUUACCCUGAGAUGCAGCUCACAAGGAACAGCACCUACCUUAAACAGUACUUCAUCUGAGCCUACCCUUCAUUGUAGAUGGUACUCAGGAAGCUAACUGACAGGUUACACUUUGCCUAGCUGUGUGUCAAAGUUCAGACAUGAGACUCCCACUCUGUGAUUGUCAACAUUUCCAUGUUUCCAUUGGGACGGCAGUGUCACAAUGGCCUGAUACUGUCUUCUAACUCCUAUCACUUUCUUCAUGUGACCAAGUUGACAGUCACCUUCAGUUUAUUCUCAGAUCCACAGGAUGCAACUUGGCCUCAGAGCCCUCAUGUCUGCCCACAGAACAAAGAGAAUAAUCUCACAGUUCACAAUGAUAAUGCAGACAUGCCACGGUAUUACCUCCAAAAUUUACUUUCAAAUUUAAUCUCUUAUUUCUGAUUAUACUACUCUUUAAAGAAGGUCAUGUUGUGGGAGAGCAUUUGGUUUCUGCCCCAUCCACAGAUUAUAGUUUUCUUACAUAGACUUUUUUCAGUGACAAGGUUUCUGUAAACUUGUAUCAAAUUAACCAUUUAAGCACAGAAACACACACACACACACACACACACACACACACACACAUACACACAUACACACACACACAUACACACAAACACAAGGAGUGUAGGGAUAAUAGUGAUGUGCAUGUUGAAGAAAUUUAGGACAGUCGAUUUAGCAUAUAAGAUAUGGAGGGUUGCACUAAAAUCUAAGCCCAUAGGAUGAAGGAUGGGGAACAAUUGUGAGUGGUGCUUUCCCCCCAUUUGGACAUAUGAACCAUGAAGUAUGAGACAGUAGAUCUGCAUGGUCAAAGCCAAAGUACAGAAACAUACACAGUCAAUUGAUUGUGAAUAGCUCAUCUCUCUGAUCUCUAAUGGAAGAGUUAAGAUGUUUCCACACCUCUCCUGCAUAAUAUUUCAUUGCAGUCCAAUGCUAGCACACUGAAGGAUAUUCAAGAACAUAUCUGAAAGGUGACCUUUUGACCUAGCUUCAUAUAGAGAUAAAGCAACAGUGUCAGAAUUCCCAGAGCUCUGAUGAGCAGAGGGUGUUGUUUUCCUCUCAUUAACUUAGCAAUGCCUCAGAAAUCCAAGGAGGCAAUCUCCUAAGGCCUAUUCACAGCUGCACAUGGUGUAUUUUGGCUUCAAAACACCUUAGGCUGUAGUUACAGAAACCAGGAUGAAAACUGCAAAUUCCAUCAGCAUACAGUUGCUGGGAAGAUCACCAGAAUCACUGAUAGGUCUCUAUAGAACCAUGACUGUAGAUAGACAUGCCUUGCAGGGAUAGUACAUGGUUGUUUAGUUCCCCCGAUUACUGUAUAGGACAUGUAGGGAAGUCAGGAAGGAGCCAGUCCCUGUUCUAUUUCACUAACUGACAUUUCUUCAAUGUCAUAGAAAUCUGCCUGCCAAAGGACACUGUCAUUAGGACAAAACAGCAACCAACAGAUUAGAAAAAAAGAUCUAUACCAAUACUCCACCUGAUAGAGGGCUAUAAUCCAAUAGAUACAAAGUACUAAAGAAAUUAAACUUCAGAGAGACAAAUAACCCUAUUCCAAUUGGGUUCCAGAAAUGAUGAAAGAAUUCUCAAUUGAGGAAAAUCAAAUAUCUGAGAAGCUUUUAAAGAAAUGUUCAUCUAAGUAUGGUGACUAAGUAUGUCAUCAAGGAAAUGUAAAUGAAAACAACCCUAAGAUUCCACCUCACACAUGUAAGAAUAGCUGGAAUAAAAAACUCAGGAGACAGCAGAUGUUGAUUAAGAUGUCAAGAAAGAGGAAAGCUUCUUCUUUCUUGGUGGAAUUACAAACUUGUACAAUCCACUCUGAAAAUCAUUCUGGAGAUUCCUCAGAAAGUUGUAAAUUGCACUACCUGAGGACCAAGAUUUACCUAGCCAGGGUAUAUACCCAAAACAUGCUCCAACAUGCAAUAAAGACACAUGGUCGGGCUGGAGAGAUGGCUCAGUGGUUAAGAGCACCCGACUACUCUUCCAGAGGUCCUGAGUUCAAUUCCCAGCAACCAUAUGGUGGCUCACAACCAUCUGUAAAGAGACCCGAUGCCCUCUUCUGAACAUAGCUACAGUGUACUUAUACAUAAUAAAUUAAUAAAUCUUUAAAAAAAA